Non-coding RNA from Pogona vitticeps (central bearded dragon), 454 nucleotides. The record is from RefSeq and is a predicted model, not a curated record. NCBI's taxonomy places the organism in Eukaryota, Metazoa, Chordata, Lepidosauria, Squamata, Agamidae.
AGGGUAGUAGCAGUGCUCCACUGUCUGUGUUGUCUUCUUGUUUCACAGGCCAGAACUCCGAAGGAUGGGUGAAAAAUCUGGGCCAGAACUUCGUUUCCCUCCAGACCUGCCAACAUUGGGGUGAGAUGAGCACGUCUGUGGUUCGCCAAGGACAAGAUGGAACCACUGCCUUCUUUCUUCUUGACAAUCACCUGUAGCAGACCUGUAAUAUUGAGAAGGCAGAUGCUUGAUCCCUUUCAAAAGACCUGUGUCGUGUAUGACAAGCAGCAAGGUACUCAGCUGCAAUCCCCACAGAUUCAUUCAAAGGCACGGGUACGUUUGGGUGCAAUCUUGCAAACUGGCCAUGCUUUCAGGAUGGUGUUUCUUAGCUACAGCCAACAGUACAACCUGCAGCCACCAACCAUUCUUUGCAGCCCUAGCAAUCCUCCUGGGAUUUCCAUCUGCUCUAAUCUCA